RNAcentral lists this ribosomal RNA (253 nucleotides) under uncultured bacterium. RNAcentral describes it as "partial 16S ribosomal RNA". It matches the Rfam family "Bacterial small subunit ribosomal RNA", at positions 524 to 776 of the family's 1533-position model. The record is from RNAcentral.
UACGUAGGGUGCGAGCGUUGUCCGGAAUUAUUGGGCGUAAAGAGCUCGUAGGCGGUCUGUCGCGCCGAAUGUGAAAACCCGGGGCUCAACUCCGGGCCUGCAGUCGAUACGGGCUGGCUUGAGUGCGGUAGGGGAGACUGGAAUUCCUGGUGUAGCGGUGAAAUGCGCAGAUAUCGAGAGGAACACCUGCGGCGAAGGCGGGUAGCUGGGCCGACACUGACGCUGAUGCGCGAAAGCCAGGGGAGCGAACGGG